RNAcentral lists this long non-coding RNA (519 nucleotides) under Mus musculus (house mouse). RNAcentral's name for it is "long non-coding RNA chr1:179538416-179538935". Lineage: Eukaryota; Metazoa; Chordata; Mammalia; Rodentia; Muridae. The record is from RNAcentral.
AUGAAGCUGACUUUCUCGUCCCCAGCCACCGGCUGCCACAAACUCAUUGAUGUGGCCGAUGAACACAAGUUCAUACUUUCUAUGACCAGGGCACGCACGGCCACAGAAGUAGCUGCUGCUCUGGGUGAAGAGUGGAAGGGUUGAGUGGUCUGGAUUAUUUACAGGAAUGACAAACAAGAUUUUCCCAAGAAGUAAGGAGUUUUGACCCAUGGCAAAGUGUGCCUGCUGUUGAGUAAGGGCGCCCAAGUCUGUUCGUGGAUGCCAAUCUAAGUGUUCUCAACUUGGUUAUUGUUUUAAAAGGAGAGAAGGCUAUUCCUGGACAGUGCCUCGUUGGUUGGGACAUAAAAAAGCUAGCAGAAUCCAAGAGCUUUUAAAUCUCUCUAAAGGUGAUGUCCACCAACAUGUGGUCAGAAAGCCCUUAAACAAAGACGGUAAGAAGCCCAGGAGCAGAGCACCAAGAUUCAGGGUCUUAUUACUCUACGUGUCGUGCAAGAUGAAUGCUGAGGUACUGCUCUGAAG